UCGAGAAUAUUCCACAAUGGGCGAAAGCCUGAUGGAGCGACACCGCGUGCAGGAAGAAGCCUUUCGGGGUGUAAACUGCUUUUUUAUGGGACGAACAAAUGACGGUACCAUAAGAAUAAGAGGUUGCUAACUCUGUGCCAGCAGCAGCGGUAAUACAGAGACCUCAAGCGUUAUCCGGAUUAACUGGGCGUAAAGCGUCCGCAGGUGGUUUUGUAAGUCUUUGGUUAAAUAUCACGGCUCAACCGGGAAAUCGCCAAGGGGACUGCAGAACUAGAGACUGGGAGAGGCAAGCGGAACUGCCGGUGUAGCGGUAGAAUGCGUUAAUAUCGGCAGGAACACCAAAGGCGAAGGCAGCUUGCUGGAACAGUUCUGACACUCAUGGACGAAAGCGUGGGGAGCAAAAGGG
This 406-nucleotide ribosomal RNA is filed under the name uncultured bacterium. RNAcentral's name for it is "bacterial SSU rRNA". It matches the Rfam family "Bacterial small subunit ribosomal RNA", at positions 355 to 776 of the family's 1533-position model. The record is from RNAcentral.